AUUGAACGCUGGCGGAAUGCUUUACACAUGCAAGUCGAACGGUAGAGGGGGCAACCCCUCGAGAGUGGCGAACGGGUGAGUAAUAUAUCGGAACGUGCCCAGUCGUGGGGGAUAACGUAGCGAAAGUUACGCUAAUACCGCAUACGAUCUAAGGAUGAAAGCGGGGGAUCGCAAGACCUCGCGCGAUUGGAGCGGCCGAUAUCAGAUUAGGUAGUUGGUGGGGUAAAGGCUCACCAAGCCAACGAUCUGUAGCUGGUCUGAGAGGACGACCAGCCACACUGGAACUGAGACGCGGUCCAGACUCCUACGGGAGGCAGCAGUGGGGAAUUUUGGACAAUGGACGCAAGUCUGAUCCGGCCAUUCCGCGUGCAGGAUGAAGGCCCUCGGGUUGUAAACUGCUUUUGUACGGAACGAAAAGGUCUCUCUUAAUACGGGGGACUCAUGACGGUACCGUAAGAAUAAGCACCGGCUAACUACGUGCCAGCCGCCGCCGUAA
This 496-nucleotide ribosomal RNA is filed under the name uncultured bacterium. RNAcentral's name for it is "partial 16S ribosomal RNA". It matches the Rfam family "Bacterial small subunit ribosomal RNA", at positions 30 to 523 of the family's 1533-position model. The record is from RNAcentral.